RNAcentral lists this ribosomal RNA (298 nucleotides) under uncultured bacterium. RNAcentral's name for it is "partial 16S ribosomal RNA". It matches the Rfam family "Bacterial small subunit ribosomal RNA", at positions 332 to 642 of the family's 1533-position model. The record is from RNAcentral.
CUUACCCUACGGGGGGCAGCAGUCGAGAAUCAUUCACAAUGGGGGAAACCCUGAUGGUGCGACGCCGCGUGGGGGAAUGAAGGUCUUCGGAUUGUAAACCCCUGUCAUGUGGGAGCAAAUUAAAAAGAUAGUACCACAAGAGGAAGAGACGGCUAACUCUGUGCCAGCAGCCGCGGUAAUACAGAGGUCUCAAGCGUUGUUCGGAUUCACUGGGCGUAAAGCGUGCGUAGGCUGUUUCGUAAGUCGUGUGUGAACGUCGCGGGCUCAACCCGCGUACGGCACCUGAUACUGCGAGACU